Molecule: ribosomal RNA, 460 nt
Filed under: uncultured bacterium
Lineage: Bacteria
Description: partial 16S ribosomal RNA
Rfam family: Bacterial small subunit ribosomal RNA
Source: RNAcentral
CCUACGGGAGGCAGCAGUGAGGAAUAUUGGUCAAUGGGCGAGAGCCUGAACCAGCCAAGUCGCGUGAAGGAUGACGGCCCUACGGGUUGUAAACUUCUUUUGUCAGGGAGCAAUUGAGUCCACGUGUGGGCUUAGCGAGAGUACCGGAAGAAAAAGCAUCGGCUAACUCCGUGACAGCAGCCGCGGUAAUACGGAGGAUGCGAGCGUUACCCGGAUUUAUUGGGUUAAAGGGGUGCGUAGGCGGAAUAGCAAGGCAGCGGUAAAAGUUCGGGGCUCAACCCCGUCGUGCCGUUGAAACUGAUGUUCUUGAGUGGGCGAGAAGUAUGCGGAAUGCGUGGUGUAGCGGUGAAAUGCGUAGAUAUCACGAAGAACUCCGAUGGCGAAGGCAGCUUACCGGCGCCCAACUGACGCUGAGGCACGAAAGCGUGGGUAUCGAACAGGAUUAGAUACCCGUGUAGUC